UACGUAGGGUGCAAGCGUUGUCCGGAAUUAUUGGGCGUAAAGAGCUCGUAGGCGGUUUGUCGCGUCUGCUGUGAAAUCCCGAGGCUCAACCUCGGGCCCUGCAGUGGGUACGGGGCAGACUAGAGUGCGGUAGGGGAGAUUGGAAUUCCCUGGUGUAGCGGUGGAAUGCGCAGAUAUCAGGAGGAACACCCGAUGGCGAAGGCAGAUCUCUGGGCCGUAACUGACGCUGAGGAGCGAAAGCGUGGGAGCGAACAGG
This 256-nucleotide ribosomal RNA is filed under the name uncultured bacterium. Its description in RNAcentral is "partial 16S ribosomal RNA". It matches the Rfam family "Bacterial small subunit ribosomal RNA", at positions 524 to 776 of the family's 1533-position model. The record is from RNAcentral.